Molecule: transfer RNA, 75 nt
Filed under: Methanobacteriota archaeon
Lineage: Archaea; Methanobacteriati; Methanobacteriota
Description: Euryarchaeota archaeon tRNA-Arg
Rfam family: tRNA
About the family: Transfer RNA (tRNA) molecules are approximately 80 nucleotides in length. Their secondary structure includes four short double-helical elements and three loops (D, anti-codon, and T loops).
Source: RNAcentral
CGGGGUAUAGUGUAGUGGAUAUCAUGGCAUUCUGCGAAGUUGCCAACCUGGGUUCAAAUCCCAGUACCCCGGCCA